CUGCAUCCUCAAACCUCCUGGUUGUUUUUCUCUCACAGCCCAGGACAAAAAGGAAUGCUAGAUAAAACAUUCAGAGAAUUCCAAAAUGCUGAGCUCCACUUGUGCUUGUCAUUAUUUCACAUCUCUGACACCU
Small nucleolar RNA from Mobula hypostoma (lesser devil ray), 133 nucleotides. RefSeq annotates it as small nucleolar RNA SNORA14. The transcript has a single exon. Lineage: Eukaryota; Metazoa; Chordata; Chondrichthyes; Myliobatiformes; Myliobatidae. The record is from RefSeq and is a predicted model, not a curated record.